AGGGUUUGAUUCUGGCUCAGGACGAACGCUGGCGGCGUGCCUAACACAUGCAAGUCGAGCGAGUGAAUCUCCUUCGGGAGUGAAGCUAGCGGCGGACGGGUGAGUAACACGUGGGCAACCUGCCUCAUAGAGGGGAAUAGCCUUCCGAAAGGAAGAUUAAUACCGCAUAAGAUUGUAGCUUCGCAUGAAGUAGCAAUUAAAGGAGCAAUCCGCUAUGAGAUGGGCCCGCGGCGCAUUAGCUAGUUGGUGAGGUAACGGCUCACCAAGGCGACGAUGCGUAGCCGACCUGAGAGGGUGAUCGGCCACAUUGGGACUGAGACACGGCCCAG
This 329-nucleotide ribosomal RNA is filed under the name uncultured bacterium. RNAcentral's name for it is "bacterial SSU rRNA". It matches the Rfam family "Bacterial small subunit ribosomal RNA", at positions 8 to 334 of the family's 1533-position model. The record is from RNAcentral.